GGUUAGUCGGUCCCUAAGGCGAGGCUGAAAAGCGUAGUCGAUGGAAAACAGGUUAAUAUUCCUGUACUUCUGGUUAUUGCGAUGGAGGGACGGAGAAGGCUAGGCCAGCUUGGCGUUGGUUGUCCAAGUUUAAGGUGGUAGGCUGGAAUCUUAGGUAAAUCCGGGAUUCUAAGGCCGAGAGCUGAUGACGAGUUACCUUUUAGGUAACGAAGUGGUUGAUGCCAUGCUUCCAAGAAAAGCUUCUAAGCUUCAGGUAACCAGGAACCGUACCCCAAACCGACACAGGUGGUUGGGUAGAGAAUACCAAGGCGCUUGAGAGAACUCGGGUGAAGGAACUAGGCAG
This 343-nucleotide ribosomal RNA is filed under the name Klebsiella pneumoniae. RNAcentral describes it as "partial 23S ribosomal RNA". It matches the Rfam family "Bacterial large subunit ribosomal RNA", at positions 1378 to 1720 of the family's 2925-position model. Lineage: Bacteria; Pseudomonadati; Pseudomonadota; Gammaproteobacteria; Enterobacterales; Enterobacteriaceae. The record is from RNAcentral.